RNAcentral lists this transfer RNA (71 nucleotides) under Cavia porcellus (domestic guinea pig). It matches the Rfam family "tRNA". Rfam says of the family: Transfer RNA (tRNA) molecules are approximately 80 nucleotides in length. Their secondary structure includes four short double-helical elements and three loops (D, anti-codon, and T loops). Lineage: Eukaryota; Metazoa; Chordata; Mammalia; Rodentia; Caviidae. The record is from Rfam by way of RNAcentral.
GGGGAUUUAGCUCAGUGGCAUAAGCACCUGCCUUGGAAGCAGAAGGUCGUGAGUUCGAUCCCCGGUACCCA